GCAUUAUUAGAAGCUACAGUGGCUAACGGCUACCAGUGAAAAACAACAGAGGAAACCGGUCCGUGUUUAUCCCUGUGGUGGCAUCAGACGUCCUCCAACAAAUAUGCCCAGGACAAGUUAGUUCCCGGAGGCUGGCUCACCUCCAGAUCCAAGUACCAAAUUGUAACUCUUUGGAGAAGGGUCUUAUGGCACAGUUGCAAAAUGUGUCAGAAUAGCUGACAAAAAGACUAUACCCAUUAAAAUAAUGAAACAUGAGAACCCAAAAGACCCGUUAAAAAACCAAGAGAUCGCAAGAGCUCUUAGUCACCUCAACUCUACUGGAACAAUACACGCAGACCUGAAAUUAGAAAAUGUAAUGUUGGUGAAACAUCAACAAGAGCCAUACUGAAUUAAAGUAAUUGACUUCGGCCCGGCCUGUGAAACCUCAGCUGCCAAAGAUCCGUCCUUACCAGUCUCUAGAGAUUAUUCUGGAGCUUCUGUUUACAGAAGUCGUAGAUGUAUGGUCUCUGGGUACAUCUACGGCUGGGUACAUCUGAGUUACAUAAUGGAGACCCAAGGGCAACCCCGAGAGAAAAAGCUAGACUGUGGGCAAAACACCGCCCAUUUUUUCUGCAGAGAGUUAAAUUCCUGCAACAACUACCACUGACACUUGAGCAAUAUUUCCAAGUGUCUGGGGUUUGGUUCAUGGAGACAAGAGAAAUAAAGUUCUCUGGAUGACCUCUUCUAUAUCACUGAGCAUCAGGAUUAUGCAAAUAAAACUGCUGAAAUGUUUGAUUUCCUGAUGUUUGUUGAAAUGGUGAAAAACUUGCUUCAUCUCCAUCCCGAAAAACGGAUGACACCCCGUCAGGUGCGGGACCAUCCCUUUGCAAGAAUGCACCACCUUGCAUGCUUGCACCA
This is a long non-coding RNA of Oreochromis aureus, 897 nucleotides long. RefSeq lists it as uncharacterized. The record is from RefSeq and is a predicted model, not a curated record. Lineage: Eukaryota; Metazoa; Chordata; Actinopteri; Cichliformes; Cichlidae. The transcript has 6 exons.